CCUACGGGAGGCAGCAGUAGGGAAUCUUCCGCAAUGGGCGAAAGCCUGACGGAGCAACGCCGCGUGAGUGAUGAAGGUCUUCGGAUCGUAAAACUCUGUUAUCAGGGAAGAACAAAUGUGUAAGUAACUGUGCACAUCUUGACGGUACCUGAUCAGAAAGCCACGGCUAACUACGUGCCAGCAGCCGCGGUAAUACGUAGGUGGCAAGCGUUAUCCGGAAUUAUUGGGCGUAAAGCGCGCGUAGGCGGUUUUUUAAGUCUGAUGUGAAUGCCCACGGCUCAACCGUGGAGGGUCAUUGGAAACUGGAAAACUUGAGUGCAGAAGAGGAAAGUGGAAUUCCAUGUGUAGCGGUGAAAUGCGCAGAGAUAUGGAGGAACACCAGUGGCGAAGGCGACUUUCUGGUCUGUAACUGACGCUGAUGUGCGAAAGCGUGGGGAUCAAACAGGAUUAGAUACCCUGGUAGUCCACGCCGUAAACGAUGAGUGCUAAGUGUUAGGGGGUUUCCGCCCCUUAGUGCUGCNGCACGCAUAAGACACNCCGCCGNGGGAGGACGACCGCGAGUAGAACGUACAAANAGAGUUAGAGGACGUGAGAGNGCGAGGACGACACGAGGGGAGGAGG
This 621-nucleotide ribosomal RNA is filed under the name uncultured bacterium. RNAcentral describes it as "bacterial SSU rRNA". The stretch from base 1 to 542 matches the Rfam family "Bacterial small subunit ribosomal RNA", at positions 338 to 873 of the family's 1533-position model. The record is from RNAcentral.